UUAUUGCUUACUUUGAAAAUUGUAAUGAUUCACUUAAUCAUGAACAAGCUAAAAGUGAACAACUUGAACAUGAACUUGAGAAGAGUCAUCAAGCAUGUAGAGACUUAAGAUCUUCAAAAGGAGAGAUUGAAGUUGCUCAUGAUAAACUUAAAAAGGAUUUUGAGGCCCUUCUCCUUGAAUGCAAUAAUGUCAAGGGAGAGC
RNAcentral lists this long non-coding RNA (201 nucleotides) under Hordeum vulgare. Its description in RNAcentral is "long non-coding RNA (HVUL_LNC017961)". Lineage: Eukaryota; Viridiplantae; Streptophyta; Magnoliopsida; Poales; Poaceae. The record is from RNAcentral.